CAGCCAGGCUAACUCUGUGCCAGCAGCCGCGGUAAUACAGAGGGUGCAAGCGUUAAUCGGAUUUACUGGGCGUAAAGCGCGCGUAGGCGGCUAAUUAAGUCAAAUGUGAAAUCCCCGAGCUUAACUUGGGAAUUGCAUUCGAUACUGGUUAGCUAGAGUGUGGGAGAGGAUGGUAGAAUUCCAGGUGUAGCGGUGAAAUGCGUAGAGAUCUGGAGGAAUACCGAUGGCGAAGGCAGCCAUCUGGCCUAACACUGACGCUGAGGUGCGAAAGCAUGGGGAGCAAACAGGAUUAGAUACCCUGGUAGUCCAUGCCGUAAACGAUGUCUACUAGCCGUUGGGGCCUUUGAGGCUUUAGUGGCGCAGCUAACGCGAUAAGUAGACCGGCUGUGGAGUACGGUCGCAAGACUAAAACUCAAAUGAAUUGACGGGGGGCCGCACAAGCGGUGGAGCAUGUGGUUUAAUUCGAUUGCAACGCGAAGAACCU
Molecule: ribosomal RNA, 484 nt
Filed under: uncultured bacterium
Lineage: Bacteria
Description: bacterial SSU rRNA
Rfam family: Bacterial small subunit ribosomal RNA
Source: RNAcentral